CAGAUUGUGUCAGUGAUUUUCUGAGUCAUAGUUUGGUAUUCUGACUCUGUUGCUCAGGCUCAUGUUACUCAGUCUGACAUUUUGGAUUAUUCUGCUUUAUUUCUCCUGGACCUUUGUUCUGAGCCCCGUAUGCCCUAGAUCUGCGACUGCUUUAAGACUGUUUGAGUUUGUUUUUGGAUUUUGACCUGGUUUGCACUUUGACACUGAGACUGACAACUGAUUUGAUCUGUUUGCUAAGGAAUCUUCACCUCACCUUGCUUGGUCUGUAAGUUGGUCUUUGUCUGAGUCCUGACACAUUAAAACAAAUUCUGCACUUCUAAUAGGCUUACAGGGUCAUUCAGUUACUGUCCUAUAUAACAAAAAUAUUGUAGCGUGCAGGGGGAUUGUGCACAUGUGUUUGCAUAGUAGUUCACCCCAUAAUGUGUGCCUGUUAGAAUUAUCAAUGUUCAAUUCUGUUUAAUGUUCCAUUUUAGAAUGUGUUUUAGAAUGUGAGUUUCUGUUAUUUAGAGUCUGUGCACAUAUGUAGUUGUCUGUGUAGUUGUCUGUGUAUUAUUGUAUUUGUCCACCAUUACCAUUGCCAAGAUUAGUCCUCCAUCUUAUCUUGGGAUGCGUGUCUAGAAAGCAUAAUUUUCUAACCACUGCCACAAUCUUGGUCGUUACAACCGUCGUUCAAUACAACGGUACAAUAGUGUUUUUUCGAAAGCGUAGUUACACCGAUCAAUCAGAAACGUGGUUGCAAAGUUGGGUGGUUGGAACAACUGCUCGAGACCAGACGUUAGAAGCAUCAUUCCUGGAUAUUUAUUGUUAACGUUUUCAUUGCGUUAGUUAGAUUAAUCCUUUCCCUACCUACUUGAAUUUACCAACUAAAUUUCACUUAUCAUUCAUUUUAAUUUUUUUUAAAGUGAAGCGCUGUAUAACGCACCACUGUUUUCGUUUUAAUAAAUGUUUAGCUACCUUUUGUCGGGGCAAAAUUAUCUACACUGCCCGCUUAGUAAAUUCAAAAUCUAAAUUUCGCUUGCUUUCAUUGCUAUGAUGCCCAACUACACCUAUCAAUGAAACCUGAUGAAAUUACACAACUACCUAAAAUAGAAUCUAAAUAUAUUGUAUAUGAUGUAAAUAAAUAUCAAAUCAUGAUGAAUAACAUUUUCCUCCUCCUUAACACAGAUACAACUGAAGUUAUGAUUGUAGGCCCAAAACAUUUGAGACUGAUGCUUUCCAGCCAUUUACUCACACUUGAUUGCAUCUCAGUAACAUCCAACACAGGUGUCAAAGAUCUUGGUGUAUCUAUUGACCAAGACCUCUCAUUGGACUCACAAAACGGAUUUCAAAGUCACAUUUAUUCAUCUGCGCAAUAUUACUAAAACCAAGAAAAAUCCUAUCCCUUCAAUAUGAAGAAAACAAAUCCAUAAUUAGAAAUACAUUUAUUACUUUGCGACGAGACUACUGCAAUGCUCUCUUAUCCGGAUGCAACAAUAACUCGCUAAAAAGCCUCCUGUCCAACUGAUGCAAAAUGUUGCUGCUCGCACACUGACUAGGACAAAAAAAUAUGAACAUGAUGGAACUGAAUAUUGACAUUGUUUUAUAUUAUCUUUCUCUGUAACCCAUGUUCAUGUUAAUGUACUCUGUCCUUGUCUCGGCCAGAGCAGAUACCUCCUCCAACCAUUAGCUUUCAAAUGGCUUUUGUGAGGAUUCCGGCUCUCCUGUAUGCAUUUUGAACCCC
This is a long non-coding RNA of Clupea harengus (Atlantic herring), 1720 nucleotides long. NCBI's taxonomy places the organism in Eukaryota, Metazoa, Chordata, Actinopteri, Clupeiformes, Clupeidae. The record is from Ensembl.